UACAGAGGUCUCAAGCGUUGUUCGGAUUCAUUGGGCGUAAAGGGUGCGUAGGUGGCGCGCUAAGUCAGGUGUGAAAUUUCGGAGCUUAACUCCGAAACUGCAUUUGAUACUGGCGUGCUUGAGGACUGGAGAGGAGACUGGAAUUCACGGUGUAGCAGUGAAAUGCGUAGAGAUCGUGAGGAAGACCAGUGGCGAAGGCGGGUCUCUGGACAGUUCCUGACACUGAGGCACGAAAGCCAGGGGAGCAAACGGG
This 253-nucleotide ribosomal RNA is filed under the name uncultured bacterium. RNAcentral's name for it is "partial 16S ribosomal RNA". It matches the Rfam family "Bacterial small subunit ribosomal RNA", at positions 524 to 776 of the family's 1533-position model. The record is from RNAcentral.